RNAcentral lists this ribosomal RNA (253 nucleotides) under uncultured bacterium. RNAcentral's name for it is "partial 16S ribosomal RNA". It matches the Rfam family "Bacterial small subunit ribosomal RNA", at positions 524 to 776 of the family's 1533-position model. The record is from RNAcentral.
UACGAAGGGGGCUAGCGUUGUUCGGAAUGACUGGGCGUAAAGGGCGCGUAGGCGGCGCAUCAAGUCGGGCGUGAAAGCCCCGGGCUCAACCUGGGAACUGCGUUCGAGACUGGAGUGCUAGAGUUCGGGAGAGGAGAGUGGAAUUCCCAGUGUAGAGGUGAAAUUCGUAGAUAUUGGGAAGAACACCAAUGGCGAAGGCAGCUCUCUGGACCGAUACUGACGCUGAGGCGCGAAAGCGUGGGGAGCAAACAGG